UGUUUGAUGUUCUAACGUGGACCCGUGAUCCGGGUUGCGGACAGUGUCUGGUGGGUAGUUUGACUGGGGCGGUCUCCUCCUAAAGAGUAACGGAGGAGCACGAAGGUUGGCUAAUCCUGGUCGGACAUCAGGAGGUUAGUGCAAUGGCAUAAGCCAGCUUGACUGCGAGCGUGACGGCGCGAGCAGGUGCGAAAGCAGGUCAUAGUGAUCCGGUGGUUCUGAAUGGAAGGGCCAUCGCUCAACGGAUAAAAGGUACUCCGGGGAUAACAGGCUGAUACCGCCCAAGAGUUCAUAUCGACGGCGGUGUUUGGCACCUCGAUGUCGGCUCAUCACAUCCUGGGGCUGAAGUAGGUCCCAAGGGUAUGGCUGUUCGCCAUUUAAAGUGGUACGCGAGCUGGGUUUAGAACGUCGUGAGACAGUUC
Molecule: ribosomal RNA, 422 nt
Filed under: Escherichia coli
Lineage: Bacteria; Pseudomonadati; Pseudomonadota; Gammaproteobacteria; Enterobacterales; Enterobacteriaceae
Also listed under: 2 other names
Description: partial 23S ribosomal RNA
Rfam family: Bacterial large subunit ribosomal RNA
Source: RNAcentral